UACAGAGGGGGCAAGCGUUGUUCGGAAUUACUGGGCGUAAAGGGCGCGUAGGCGGCCUUCUAAGUCGAACGUGAAAUCCCCGGGCUCAACCCGGGAACUGCGUCCGAUACUGGAAGGCUUGAAUCCGGGAGAGGGAUGCGGAAUUCCAGGUGUAGCGGUGAAAUGCGUAGAUAUCUGGAGGAACACCGGUGGCGAAGGCGGCAUCCUGGACCGGUAUUGACGCUGAGGCGCGAAAGCCAGGGGAGCAAAGCGGGAU
RNAcentral lists this ribosomal RNA (256 nucleotides) under uncultured bacterium. RNAcentral's name for it is "partial 16S ribosomal RNA". It matches the Rfam family "Bacterial small subunit ribosomal RNA", at positions 524 to 779 of the family's 1533-position model. The record is from RNAcentral.